GCCAAACUUGGCAUGUGAUACCUUUCAGGAAAGCCCAAAGAUAGCCCUCCGACGAAAUAAGCAGGACAAUGGAACUUUUCCAUUGACUUUUUGUCGACCCCAAAUUUUGACUUUUAAGUACUUUUUCGGGCAUUUUCGUGAUUUGGGCUAUAUUACGGACCCAAAAUUACUUGUUCAAGCAUUGUUUUCGAAUUUUUUCAUGCAUCAAAGCUCGUUAAGACUAGAUGGGGUAUCCCUACAUAGCGGGUGGGACCCACGGCGAAUGGUUCAUCAAGUCUUCAAAAAAGAAUAUAUACGAUUGCAUUGCAUAUACUAACGGAUGCGAUCAUACCAGCACUAAUGCACCGGAUCCCAUCAGAACUCCGCAGUUAAGCGUGCUUGGGCGAGAGUAGUACUAGGAUGGGUGACCUCCCGGGAAGUCC
RNAcentral lists this ribosomal RNA (422 nucleotides) under Arabidopsis suecica. The record is from RNAcentral. Lineage: Eukaryota; Viridiplantae; Streptophyta; Magnoliopsida; Brassicales; Brassicaceae.